AAUGAUCGCGGCUUGCCGGUUUCGGCAAGGUGAGGAAAGUCCGGGCUUCGCAGGGCAGGAUGCCGGAUAACGUCCGGUGGAGGUGACUCCAAGGCCAGUGCAACAGAAAGAUACCGCCGUCGAUGACGGUAAGGGUGGAAAGGCAGUGUAAGAGACUACCGUGUGGCUGGUGACAGCCAUAGCCAUGUAAACCCCAUCCGAAGCAAGACCAAACAGGGAACGAUAGACUUGCCCGGUCUGUUUCCAGGUAGGUCGCUCGAGGCUGACGGCAACGUCAGCCCUAGACAGAUGAUCAUUC
Molecule: RNase P RNA, 298 nt
Filed under: Lachnospiraceae bacterium
Lineage: Bacteria; Bacillati; Bacillota; Clostridia; Lachnospirales; Lachnospiraceae
Description: RNase P RNA component class A
Rfam family: Bacterial RNase P class A
About the family: Ribonuclease P (RNase P) is a ubiquitous endoribonuclease, found in archaea, bacteria and eukarya as well as chloroplasts and mitochondria.
Source: RNAcentral